UCUAGGAAGGGAUGGAGCUAGCCUGAAGAGGUCUGUUCUGCUGUAUUCCCCACACUAUUUCUAGUUAUAAAAGUCCCCAGCAUACCUGUGUAGGGUGAGACUCAAUUUGAGAUCUGUGCCAGGAAGCUGAAGAAUCUGUGCCAGCAGGCUAAAGGAUCUGCAAUGGAGCCAGAAAGCUACACUCAAAGUAAGGACUAGAGAUCCCCACAAAAGUACCACAGCUAUCCUCAGUGACAAUGAGUUCCUGAGCUACUCCAAUGACGAGAACAGCUAAGUUCAUAUCAGGAAGCAUGAUGAACUUUUCCAGGAGAUGAACAACACAGCAUCUUCCCCUCUGGAACCAGGAAGUGAUGCUCAAAGUUAGGACCAGAGCUCCCCUAAAGUGAGCCGCAGCCAUUCUCAGGAACAACCAGGUCCCAAGCCCCUCUGACAGUGAGAAUGGCCAAGUCGAUAUCAGGAAACAAGCUCAACAAACUCCUCCAGGAGAACCAAUAGCAACAAGAGAACCAACAACACUACUUCUUCCUCUCUAGUUCUCCUUUUUAUAUUGGCAACUAUCCUCAGGUGGGCCAUCCACACCCAGCACCAUGCUGACUCAUUUCAGCUGGUAUUACAAGUUGAAGACUAGUUGUCAAUCCACCACACUGGGAUUAUUUUCCUGUUUUUCCCCCACUUUUGCAUAACUGUUUAUUUUUUCCCAAUUUUAUUCAUUCUAUUAAACCUUUUGGCAUUAUUA
Long non-coding RNA from Cavia porcellus (domestic guinea pig), 736 nucleotides. RefSeq lists it as uncharacterized. The record is from RefSeq and is a predicted model, not a curated record. The transcript is spliced from 2 exons. NCBI's taxonomy places the organism in Eukaryota, Metazoa, Chordata, Mammalia, Rodentia, Caviidae.